CAGAAAUCACACCAUUUAUCAUAGAAAUCGACUUUUCUCCAACAUGUAUUGCCAAGAUAUAUCCAUCUUACUUUGAACUUGGAAUGUGGUGCAGCACAGAAAUCAAAAUAAGUAUUCAGCAAGGCUUUGGAAGGUCAGUCCUCCACAGUGAUCUGCAGCAGAUUGCCUUGCUGUUUGGCACCUCACAUGGGGCACCAUUGUCACAGCAACAGUGGGGUGCUGUAGUUUGGAUCUUAAAUGCCCCCCAAAGGACUGUUUGUCAGGAUGGUACUAACGGAAGAUGGUGGAAACCCUUAGAGACAUGAGGUGAAUGAGCCUCCUCCGCCACAUGCUUCUGCCAUGAUGUGCUGGCCACAGGGCCAAAACAAUGAGAUGAGAAAACCAAGUCACAGAGAGAUGCAGUUUCCUAUGUUCAAGCUCGCUG
RNAcentral lists this long non-coding RNA (424 nucleotides) under Heterocephalus glaber (naked mole-rat). RNAcentral's name for it is "lncRNA (ENSHGLG00100052405.1)". The record is from RNAcentral. Lineage: Eukaryota; Metazoa; Chordata; Mammalia; Rodentia; Bathyergidae.